Callorhinus ursinus (northern fur seal) is the source of this 1652-nucleotide non-coding RNA. Lineage: Eukaryota; Metazoa; Chordata; Mammalia; Carnivora; Otariidae. The record is from RefSeq and is a predicted model, not a curated record.
CCUGCACAACAAAAUGCCAUUAAUCAAUCUGAACAUUACACAACCUCAUGUCAAACUUAAUCUGCAGUUCAGAGUUUUAAUUAUAAAAUGUUUCACGUAAUACAAAAUGUUCUGAACAAGACAGUGAAGAGACUCUAGAAGUUCAGAUAAAAACACCUGACAGCACAUAUUUUAAAGUACUCGAUGCUCCAGAAAUAUUUUAACACCGAAAACAGCAUUUUUCCAACGUCUCCUGUUUCUAGAGGCCAGCAUUACUUGGAAGUUGUGGCGAUCCCAACACCAAACCAUGGAACCUUGGGCCCCAACUUCAUCCAGCUCAGAGAUUCUUGAGGGGAGAAGCCGGCAUGGGGGCGGGGGGGAUGGCAGGAGUCACAGAAAUUAAACCUAAUUGCGUAUCACGUUAAAAUGCACCCGGAGGAAAUGUAAAUGCUUUGUCUAAUUUCAUCACUUGGCGAUUAAGCUGUUACACGGCGGUACACAGCCAAGUCUGUAAGUUGUCAAAGAUACUAACUCUCCGUGUGAGCCGAGAGCAGCGCCUCUGCGUGAGCGCAGGCUGGAGACCUGGGAGCUGGCCUGAGGCCUCUGCCCCAGGGAAGAGCGGCCGAGGGGACCUUCCCAACCCUUUCCCUGCCUUCGCGUUUGUUGGCAAAUGUGAGGACCGCCGAAGCAGCACAACAGGUAGAAGGAAUUCCACUGUAAUACUCUACUUCUGUGUCUGUCUGAAAUUUCCCCACAACAAGCUUUUUAAAAUAUGCCUCUUCAGGGCAUGAAAAGCUAGCAAGCAAGCCUGCUAAAUUUGGUGGCUGCCAAAAAGGCACUGGUGGAACUCCUUAGCUGGGAACUGCCUCUUAGGAAGGCUGCAGGCUGGAGAGGAGGCAACAAGCAGCCCAGGGAAGCUGGGCCUGGCACCUGUGUGCGGGUCUGCUGCCACCAGAGUUGCCCGCAAGAUUUUCAUUAUAAAACAUUUUCCUGGGCCAUGCUGUUCCACUCCCAACCACCAGUGUCCACAAGGCCCCAUCUGCCGUGCAACAGACCCACCACCCACCAGAGCCACCCAGAGAAGUCCUGGCCAAAACAAACCUCCAGCCGACAGGACUCUCAGCAAUAAACACACACGUGGACAGGGAAAUCAGCCCUCUCCACAGAACCAAAAAGGAUAUCCCUUCUGAGGCUGAAAUCCAGCAGCUAAUGGGAGCCCCACAACAUAACCAGGGUUUCCACUGAGAGGAACUGGCUUUGUAUUUUGCUGAAAGACAAUGCAGAAAUGCCCCCAAUAAUUCUCAUUUUAAUAAGGAAAUAGGGUGAAAAUAAAAUGCUUUUCACAGUAAAAUCUGGGAUUUCCAACAAAUGAAAGAAUUUCUCCCCCUACUCAGAACUAUAAAUAUAUCUGCUGAGUGUAGGAGUACAUCAUUCUAUAAAAGAAUGAGCUUGUAUGGAAGAGAAUCUUACUCCCAGAAAGGAAAAAGAUACAAGGACUCUGCCUGAUUUUGCUACAAACACAUGCUACAUAAAGCCCUUUGUUUAGUACAAGUGGGUAGAUGGUAAGACUUCUAAACAGAUUUUUUUUCACUAGGAAGUUAUUUUUUUACUUGCGAUUAAAUAUGUGUACAAAAGUGAUCAAACUUACCUGAAUAAAAUGAAUUUCAAACUUC